Molecule: ribosomal RNA, 305 nt
Filed under: uncultured bacterium
Lineage: Bacteria
Description: bacterial SSU rRNA
Rfam family: Bacterial small subunit ribosomal RNA
Source: RNAcentral
CCUACGGGAGGCAGCAGCCGCGGUAAUACGUAGGGGGCAAGCGUUAUCCGGAUUUACUGGGUGUAAAGGGAGCGUAGACGGCGCGGCAAGUCUGAAGUGAAAGGCAGGGGCUUAACCCCUGAACUGCUUUGGAAACUGCCAUGCUAGAGUGCUGGAGAGGUAAGUGGAAUUCCUAGUGUAGCGGUGAAAUGCGUAGAUAUUAGGAGGAACACCAGUGGCGAAGGCGGCUUACUGGACAGUAACUGACGUUGAGGCUCGAAAGCGUGGGGAGCAAACAGGAUUAGAAACCCCUGUAGUCCACUAAA